This 484-nucleotide ribosomal RNA is filed under the name uncultured bacterium. RNAcentral describes it as "partial 16S ribosomal RNA". It matches the Rfam family "Bacterial small subunit ribosomal RNA", at positions 30 to 507 of the family's 1533-position model. The record is from RNAcentral.
AUUGAACGCUGGCGGCAGGCUUAACACAUGCAAGUCGAGCGGAUGAAGGCUGCUUGCUUCUGGUUUUAGAGGCGGACGGGUGAGUAUUGCCUAGGAAUAUGCUUGGUAGUGGGGGAUAAUGUCUGCAAACGGCCGCUAAUAACGCAUACGUCCUGCGGGUGAAACAGGGGGAUCUUCGGACCUUACGCUAUCUGAUGAGCUUAGGCCGGACUAGCUAGCUGGUGGGGUAAAGGGCUACCAAGGCGACGAUCCGUAACUCGUCUGAGAGGAAGAUCAGUCACACUGGAAGUGGAACACGGUCAUGACGCCUACGAGAGGCAGCAGUGUGGAAUAUUGGACAGUAGGCGGAAACCUGAUACAACCAUGCCACGUGUGUGAAGAAAGUCUUCGGAGUGGAAAGCACUUUAAGUUGGGAGGAAGGGCAUUAAGUUGAUACCUUGCUGUUUUGACGUUACCGACAAAAUAAGCACCGGCUAACUACGUG